This 73-nucleotide transfer RNA is filed under the name Streptomyces bacillaris. Its description in RNAcentral is "tRNA-Met". It matches the Rfam family "tRNA". Rfam says of the family: Transfer RNA (tRNA) molecules are approximately 80 nucleotides in length. Their secondary structure includes four short double-helical elements and three loops (D, anti-codon, and T loops). Further hydrogen bonds mediate the characteristic L-shaped molecular structure. tRNAs have two regions of fundamental functional importance: the anti-codon, which is responsible for specific mRNA codon recognition, and the 3' end, to which the tRNAs corresponding amino acid is attached (by aminoacyl-tRNA synthetases). tRNAs cope with the degeneracy of the genetic code in two manners: having more than one tRNA (with a specific anti-codon) for a particular amino acid; and 'wobble' base-pairing, i.e. permitting non-standard base-pairing at the 3rd anti-codon position. RNAcentral also lists the same sequence under 1 other name. Lineage: Bacteria; Bacillati; Actinomycetota; Actinomycetes; Kitasatosporales; Streptomycetaceae. The record is from RNAcentral.
GGCGGGGUAGCUCAGUGGCAGAGCAGCCGGUUCAUACCCGGUGCAGACGUCGGUUCGAUUCCGACCCCCACCC